Molecule: ribosomal RNA, 253 nt
Filed under: uncultured bacterium
Lineage: Bacteria
Description: partial 16S ribosomal RNA
Rfam family: Bacterial small subunit ribosomal RNA
Source: RNAcentral
UACAGAGGUCUCAAGCGUUGUUCGGAUUCAUUGGGCGUAAAGGGUGUGUAGGUGGCGCCGUAAGUCGGGUGUGAAAUUUCGGAGCUUAACUCCGAAACUGCAUUCGAUACUGCGGUGCUUGAGGACUGGAGAGGAGACUGGAAUUCAUGGUGUAGCAGUGAAAUGCGUAGAGAUCAUGAGGAAGACCAGUGGCGAAGGCUGGUCUCUGGACAGUUCCUGACACUGAGACACGAAGGCCAGGGGAGCAAACAGG